Molecule: ribosomal RNA, 864 nt
Filed under: uncultured archaeon
Lineage: Archaea
Description: SSU rRNA
Rfam family: Archaeal small subunit ribosomal RNA
Source: RNAcentral
CACCAGCGCCGCAAGUGGGGACCUCUUUUAUUGGGCCUAAAGCGUCCGUAGCUGGUUUGGUAAAUCUCUUGUGAAAUCGUUAAGCUUAACUUAACGGCAUGCGGGAGACACUGCCUUACUUGAGACCGGGAGAAGUGAAGAGUAUUUCGGGGGAACCGGUAAAAUGGGAUAAUCCUCGAAAGACUACCUGUGGCGAAGGCGCUUCACUAGAACGGAUCUGACAGUGAGGGACGAAGGCUAGGGGAGCAAACCGGAUUAGAUACCCGAGUAGUCCUAGCAGUAAACGCUGCGAGCAAGGCGUUGCGCAUUCUUUAGGAAUGUGCAGUGUCGUAACGAAGGUGUUAAGCUCGCCGCCUGGGAAGUAUGGUCGCAAGACUGAAACUUAAAGGAAUUGGCGGGGGAGCACCACAAGGGGUGCGGCGUGCGGUUUAAUCUAACUCAACGCAGAGAAUCUCACCAGAGGCGACGGCAGGAUGAAGGUCAGUCUGAAGGGCUUACCUGACGAGCCGAGAGGUGGUGCAUGGCCGCCGUCAGCUCGUGCUGUGAGGUGUCCUGUUAAGUCAGGUAACGAGCGGGACCUGUACCUACAAUUGCCAGCGACUAAUUUAUUAGGAUCGGGCACAAUGUAGGGACUGCCUUGGAAACAAGGAGGAAGGUGCAGGCUACGGUAGGUCUGUAUGCCCCGAAUCUUCUGGGCUACACGCGCGCAACAAUGGUUGGGACAAUGGGACGCGACUCCGAAAGGAGAAGCCAAACCUCAAAACCCAAUCUUAGUCCAGAUUGAGGGCUGUAACUCGCCCUCAUGACGUCGGAAUCCCUAGUAAUCCCAUGUCAUCAUCGUGGGGUGAAUAUGUCCCUGCUCCU